RNAcentral lists this ribosomal RNA (400 nucleotides) under Citrobacter freundii. RNAcentral's name for it is "bacterial SSU rRNA". It matches the Rfam family "Bacterial small subunit ribosomal RNA", at positions 1122 to 1522 of the family's 1533-position model. Lineage: Bacteria; Pseudomonadati; Pseudomonadota; Gammaproteobacteria; Enterobacterales; Enterobacteriaceae. The record is from RNAcentral.
CGGUUAGGCCGGGAACUCAAAGGAGACUGCCAGUGAUAAACUGGAGGAAGGUGGGGAUGACGUCAAGUCAUCAUGGCCCUUACGAGUAGGGCUACACACGUGCUACAAUGGCAUAUACAAAGAGAAGCGACCUCGCGAGAGCAAGCGGACCUCAUAAAGUAUGUCGUAGUCCGGAUUGGAGUCUGCAACUCGACUCCAUGAAGUCGGAAUCGCUAGUAAUCGUGGAUCAGAAUGCCACGGUGAAUACGUUCCCGGGCCUUGUACACACCGCCCGUCACACCAUGGGAGUGGGUUGCAAAAGAAGUAGGUAGCUUAACCUUCGGGAGGGCGCUUACCACUUUGUGAUUCAUGACUGGGGUGAAGUCGUAACAAGGUAACCGUAGGGGAACCUGCGGUUGGA